Molecule: long non-coding RNA, 460 nt
Organism: Austrofundulus limnaeus
Lineage: Eukaryota; Metazoa; Chordata; Actinopteri; Cyprinodontiformes; Rivulidae
Exons: 3
Source: RefSeq, a predicted model, not a curated record
UAUUCUUCAACAAUGAGCUCAGCGUGAGAGGAAGAUGAGGCGGAACCAUGGAGAACAUUGUUUUCCCACACAAGGCGGCUCCAAAUGAGGCAGCGUUCACUGAGAAGAACUUCACAGAAGUCAUGUCCUCUUCAUAAAGACACAAGAUCCAACAUGGCGCUUCACACCCUGCCCCMCUCCAGCUUCCAGAGCGGUCCAUUCUAGAGGGGGCUACGGCUAUGUAGCGGCACAGUCUGACCCAGAGCAAGUUGAUAAGUCCUGACCUUCUAUCACAAACACUGCUACGUAAUACGUAGUUUGGAAAACAUCAGAGAAAACAGCAGUUCUACCGUGAAAUGGAUGCGACAAACAGACCUGCAAAGAAGGUGCAAAAUUGUGAGGAAAUGGAAAGCUUUGCAGGAAACUCACUUGAACUGCUGGUGUUCCCUGGAGCUGCGGAUCUUGGAGGAGAACCUCUCGG